UUCCAGACUCCUACGGGAGGCAGCAGUGGGGAAUAUUGCACAAUGGGGGAAACCCUGAUGCAGCAACGCCGCGUGAGUGAAGAAGUAUUUCGGUAUGUAAAGCUCUCUCAGCAGGGAAGAAGAAAGACGGUACCUGACUAAGGAGCCCCGGCUAACUACGUGCCAGCAGCCGCGGUAAUACGUAGGGGGCAAGCGUUAUCCGGAUUUACUGGGGGUAAAGGGGGCGCAGACGGCAGCGCAAGCCAGGAGUGAAAGCCCGGGGCCCAACCCCGGGACUGCUCUUGGAACUGCGCGGCUGGAGUGCAGGAGGGGCAGGCGGAAUUCCUGGUGUAGCGGUGAAGUGCGUAGAUAUCAGGAGGAACACCGGUGGCGAAGGCGGCCUGCUGGACUGCGACUGACGUUGAGGCCCGAAAGCGUGGGGAGCAAACAGGAUUAGAUACCCCUGUA
This 447-nucleotide ribosomal RNA is filed under the name uncultured bacterium. RNAcentral's name for it is "partial 16S ribosomal RNA". It matches the Rfam family "Bacterial small subunit ribosomal RNA", at positions 329 to 792 of the family's 1533-position model. The record is from RNAcentral.